GAACGCGAAGAACCUUACCCGGGCUUGAACUAAGAGUGACUUAUCUAGAGAUAGAUAUUUCUUCGGACACUCUUGGAGGUGCUGCAUGGUUGUCGUCAGCUCGUGCCGUGAGGUGUCGGCUUAAGUGCCAUAACGAGCGCAACCCUUUUCCUUGGUUGCCAUCAGGUAAUGCUGGGCACUCCAGGGAUACUGCCAUCGUAAGAUGUGAGGAAGGUGGGGAUGACGUCAAAUCAGCACGGCCCUUACGUCCGGGGCUACACACGUGUUACAAUGGGGGGUACAGAAGGUCGCUACCUGGUGACAGGAUGCCAAUCUCCAAAACCUCUCUCAGUUCGGAUUGGAGUCUGCAACCCGACUCCAUGAAGCUGGAUUCGCUAGUAAUCGCGCAUCAGCCAUGGCGCGGUGAAUACGUUCCCGGGUCUUGUACACACC
This 432-nucleotide ribosomal RNA is filed under the name uncultured bacterium. RNAcentral describes it as "bacterial SSU rRNA". It matches the Rfam family "Bacterial small subunit ribosomal RNA", at positions 957 to 1391 of the family's 1533-position model. The record is from RNAcentral.